AGCGUAUAAUUUCUGGUAGUGGGGACCUGCGUUCGCGCUCGUCCCCU
Molecule: small RNA, 47 nt
Filed under: Paramuricea clavata
Lineage: Eukaryota; Metazoa; Cnidaria; Anthozoa; Malacalcyonacea; Plexauridae
Source: RNAcentral